Molecule: microRNA, 22 nt
Filed under: Daphnia pulex (common water flea)
Lineage: Eukaryota; Metazoa; Arthropoda; Branchiopoda; Diplostraca; Daphniidae
Description: Dpu-Mir-2-o2_5p* (star (passenger))
Source: RNAcentral
AGAUGAUUUUAUCUGUGAUGUG